GAUGAACGCUGGCGGCGUGCCUAAUACAUGCAAGUCGAGCGAACAGACGAGGAGCUUGCUCCUCUGACGUUAGCGGCGGACGGGUGAGUAACACGUGGAUAACCUACCUAUAAGACUGGGAUAACUUCGGGAAACCGGAGCUAAUACCGGAUAAUAUAUUGAACCGCAUGGUUCAAUAGUGAAAGGCGGUUUUGCUGUCACUUAUAGAUGGAUCCGCGCCGCAUUAGCUAGUUGGUAAGGUAACGGCUUACCAAGGCGACGAUGCGUAGCCGACCUGAGAGGGUGAUCGGCCACACUGGAACUGAGACACGGUCCAGACUCCUACGGGAGGCAGCAGUAGGGAAUCUUCCGCAAUGGGCGAAAGCCUGACGGAGCAACGCCGCGUGAGUGAUGAAGGUCUUCGGAUCGUAAAACUCUGUUAUUAGGGAAGAACAAAUGUGUAAGUAACUAUGCACGUCUUGACGGUACCUAAUCAGAAAGCCACGGCUAACUACGUG
Molecule: ribosomal RNA, 497 nt
Filed under: uncultured bacterium
Lineage: Bacteria
Description: partial 16S ribosomal RNA
Rfam family: Bacterial small subunit ribosomal RNA
Source: RNAcentral